AGACCCUGCCGGAGCCGCUGCCGCUAUGGAUGAUCGAGAGGAUCUGGUGUACCAGGCGAAGCUGGCCGAGCAGGCUGAGCGAUACGACGACUUAAAACAGGAGACCUGGAAGUUCCUGUAACCUUUCUCUGGCUCCAUUACCCGUGGGUUCUGAUGGAUAGAACCAGGAGACCAGGAGGCCACGACUCUGAGAGUUCGAGCCUUUGUAGAGCCCGAGCCUCCGUCCACCCGUUUGUAAAAACGAUGACUUUACAGUUUGUGCGCACCGUCCUGACAAAUGGAAAGACCUGUUGAAAUAAAGUUAUUUCCAAUAGUGUUCA
RNAcentral lists this small RNA (320 nucleotides) under Pongo abelii (Sumatran orangutan). RNAcentral's name for it is "processed transcript". The record is from RNAcentral. Lineage: Eukaryota; Metazoa; Chordata; Mammalia; Primates; Hominidae.